Molecule: long non-coding RNA, 7413 nt
Filed under: Linum usitatissimum (flax)
Lineage: Eukaryota; Viridiplantae; Streptophyta; Magnoliopsida; Malpighiales; Linaceae
Description: long non-coding RNA (LUSI_LNC004574)
Rfam family: tRNA (bases 2021-2103)
Source: RNAcentral
AUCAUGAUUAUAAUAUCAUACUUAUCCUUUUCAUUAUUGCUUCUUCCGCCCUAGUUGUUUUAUUUGCCUCCGUUCUCCUUCUGCCGUUCGUCUUUUCUCCAGAUCUGUUCUCCAUGGUCGCUCAACGUCGCGCGUGGAUGAUACAAUCAUGUAGGUCAGGCGACGAUCUACGCGACGAUGUACUUAUCAAGGGCGGAGGCGUUCUUAGCCGUCGUUCCGGCUUAAUAUUCACAUGUGGCUGGCGUAGCAUAGAUAUGUCCACAGGUUUCGAUCUAAUCUUCUUGUUCUUGAUUAUAUCUACACUUGUUGGUUACAUGACUUCUGUUUCUGUCGUUCCAGACGAUUUGUGGUUACAUGGCGUGUUAUUGCCCUGCUGGUGCGAUCGGAAAGGCGACGAUUUUUGAUUACAGGUCCUGCUAUCGACCAGCUGCUGCGAUCGGAAAGGUGUUUUUUGUGUAUUUAUGCGAUUCUUAUAGUUCGUGUAUUGAAGAGCCGUUGUAAUUUUUGUUGUGUGUAUGAUAUCAUAGAUCUAGCCAUAUCUUCGGAUCUGAAGAUGAGCUAGCCCUCUAGUCAAAGAUCAGGUAUGUCGAGGCGUUCUCUGCCGCUGGAGCCAAGUAUGAUGCGUAGUGACGGGAGCUGGAUAUCGUCGAUUGUGGGUGUAUAAGAUAUGAGGGGGAUGAUGGCGCUGUGUUCGGUGGCCUGGUGUCCUUGUUAGUAUCUUUGUCAUCCGACCUUUGCCAUAUAGGGUGCGCUCGUAUGGCAGGUCACCAAUGAAUAAAAAAACAACCGUUUGUGUUUCAGAGGGAAGAUCGCACGGGGGAUUUGCCCGGGUUCUUUCCUCUGCUGUGUCUCGUGUUCCUUCUCUUCAUUACGCCUAUGCUCCAAACCCAAUCGAUUGGAGGAUGAUACUUCCUCCUACCCAGCUCUAAUUGCCAGGCUUUCAAGGCGCAUGACAAUAAAGGUAACAUCUCAUCCGUUUUAAUACUUCUGUUGGAGACUCUGAGGGACCAGCCAUCUUCCAUUCUGCCAGGUAACCUCGUUAUUUGUCAACUUUGCGCUAUCAGUAUCCAUAUUCCCGAUUCUGUCGUGUAUUUCUCAACCCAAUUACUUCAAAAUGAACACCAAGAAUGUCUUUUCCCUCGGCUGUUAUGACUAACCUGUCGAUCAAGAGCAUCAUAUCCAUAUAUGAAAUCUACCUUUUCUAUUGCGUCUAAUAAGGGCUAAAUGUUCGUAUAUUAUAUUGAACAUUGGAUUAUUUAAUUUCCUUCUGUAUUAUAUAUUGUAUACUUUUUGUAGUUGGUUCGUAGUGUGUAUAUGGUUAGUAGCUUGAUCUCACUUUCUUUGUUUCCAGUCUAUCAGCUCAGUUGCUAGUUAUUAUUGGGGUGAUUUGUUCGUGUUUUUGUGUUGGUACUAAUAUGUCCGGUUCUGUAAUGUUCAUAAUUGUACCUGUGGAAUGAUAUGCAUGGCUUGUGGCGUUUGCUGUAAUGUCGUCGUGUAUUCUGCUUACAAGUUCAGAUUGUUUGCUGUAAUAUUGCGAGUGUAUUCUGCAUCCAAGUUCAGAGAUUGGCGUUGAUGCGCUGGACGACUGUGAUCUUCAAGCUCGGUUAUCUCAUGACAUGGACCAGAGGGAGAUUCUACAAUUUAUUAUUUCUGAUCGUAGUGUUCGGUUUUUGUUUGAAUUAUGAAGCACAGUUGUUUAUUUACGAUUACUCGUGUUUGUGCAUAUACGUUGUGACUGUUUAAAAGCUCCGAUAAUGUGUUUUUUUUUUCUAAAUGGUCAAAUGAUUUCAUGUAUUCGAUCACUGUUUGGAGUGCUUGUUAACUAUGCUAAUGUAAUAGUUAAAUUUUAUUUUUGUUAAAGGGAUAUCUUCGCAAACUAUCAGUUUUUGUGUGGAAUGCUUAUAUUCCUUUGAUUAACAGGUCCUUUCUGUUACUGUAGCACUAUUGCCUUUCCUGAACAUUAAGUUGCAAGACGUUGACGGUGGAACCUUAGUUUAAUUAUUCGAAACAAUGCCGAUAUAGACUUGUAAGCUCAAAAUGGUAGAGCGCUCCAUUCCUUUUUGGUGAUGUGAGAGGUUAGUGGUUCGAAUCCACUCAAGUCUUACUUUUUUUAAUCUCGUGAAUUCUACUCCGUGUCUUUUAACUUGUAACUUAGUUUAUUUUUAGCUUUCAAAAAUGUUUGUUUUUUUUGCAAUUCAAUUGUUUAAUUACAUCCAGCGUUUAUCUGGAAAUUAGAGUGGAAAAAUACGAUUCUUGUUUUUUCGGUGGCUGCUUUUUUCACACUUCAUUGCAACUUCAAUUUACUCUUACCGGAUAGAGUCAGUUUGUUAACUGUGUUUUUUGUUCUGUUCAGUAACUCAUAAUCGAUCCAGAAUUUUUUGGAGACUUUCACCAUUGAAGUGGACGACAUAACGGACCGAAUAUGACGCGGUUGGGCUAUUGGAUAUAAAUUUUUUAUAUCAAGGAGCUCCGUGUAGGAUGCGGCAUAAAUAACACAUAGGGAUGAUGACGAGCUGGGGGUUGAAGGGGGGAGGUAAAUAGGGACUAGAGAAAUAUAGUUGAGAGAUUGAUUGAAAGUUAUCUGCCCGUUUGGGUAAUUAUUAUCAUAAAAGCGGGACCGAUUAUACAACUCAGAUGAUUAUGAUUGAAGGGAUAACCGGGUUGUCGAUGAGCAUCACUAUUGAUGUUAGACCUUGAGACUUAUUGGGGACAUCACCAAGAAUUCCGGGUACUGAGAUUUAAAAUGCCGACUGGUAAUUAAAAACAUGGGGCUAUUAGAUAUUAUACAUGAGAAGGGUGGGUGUUUAUUGGGCAGGUGAUCGGAAUGAAUGAAGAGAAAGUAACCCAACUACUUAUAUCUACAUUCAGAGAAUAGGGUUAUGUGAUGAGGUUUGGAUUGAAAUGAACAACAGCUUUGUAGUCGAGGUAAACAAAUUCAAUACUUGUUAUUUUAUAUUGAAAUGGAAUUCCGGAAAUGAACCGGCUUCCCAAAAACAAGCUAAGCCGACAUGUAGGGCAUAAUUCAACAUCAAGAUCAACUACGUAAGACAUAAAGCUAGCAAAAUUUGGUCUUCUCAAAUCUCAUUGAACAGCUCUUGUUGAUCUUCGGGAUCUUCACAGUAACUCGGGGUCCGAUUGGGUCAUCACAUUUAUUUUUCAGAACGAAUCGAGCGGUAUCUAGACAAGUAAAGCACUGAUUGGUCGUGGACUUGGUUGCACAACUGGCUAAUCCGAAAAGUAUAGUGUCGCCGUUUUGCCUGGUGCAGACCCGUUGCUUGGCUACCAAGCAGCCGAGGAGUUUGUCCCCCGUGGCUGUGGCGAGGUCACCUAUAUCACCACUGAACUUUUUGCUGUUGCAUAACAGAUCAACGCCAUCAACUCAGUCUGCCAGAACAAGUAGUGCACUUGCCAAGAAAGCAAUAUUGACUUCCGAAGUCGUCUUCAUUUUUCUCGACCUAGCUGUUUUGGGUUGUUUAUCGAUUGUGUGACUUCUCUCUGUGGUACGAUUUCAGUUGGAUUAUAUAGAGAGAACAUAGGCGGCUUUUAGAUACUAUGUUUAUCAGACAACUCCAAUGGAGCAAUUAUUCCAGCUCUGUAAAAAAUGUAGCUUUGUUAUUUCUAGCACUAACCACAUGUUUAUGUUGCUUAAUUACUUAUUUAUCCGUAUUGUUUAGGACCUCCUUGUCUUGUUUGAUUACUAUGCUAUGUAAAAAAAACUAUACCCAGUCUUGGAGUUGGUCAGCUUUGACCAGCCGGCCAUGGGCGAUGGCCGUACCUUGUAUUUAGCACUUAGAAGGCAGGAAGGACGUACUAUAGAUAGAGCGAGAGACCAUAGACUUGGGCCUUACGCAUGCAAUAACCAUGAAGAAGGGCCUAAUAGGCCCAGUAUUUUCGCACAAUGUAAAUCAGCGUCUGGCCCGUUCUGUGAAUCAUUGAGAAUUGCAGCAGAGAGGAAAGAUGGAGCAGUUGCGCUCGAAGGUCUUUGUAUUGAAACACUUCUACUGUUUACACUCUGUGACCGUGUGACGUGCUGAGAAUCAGAAGAGAGGAUCGACUUGCUCUGAACUCUGAAGAUGAUAAAAGCGGUGAUGGUGAUGAACACUCAAGGCAAGCCUCGGCUCACGAAAUUCUACGAUUUUAUGGUAAGAAACAGGGGAAGUAAUGUGCUUUGUUCCGUUUCUUGUUUGUUACGAAGAUAGUCUGCCAGCUAGUUGUCUAUAGUUCCGUUUUUCUGACGAUCUCGCUUCCUCAAUCGAAUUCUGGUGCGGACAGCCUGUGGAGAAGCAGCAGGAGAUUAUUCGGACUGUGUUUGGAGGUAAUUUUGGUCCUUCCUCGGCUGUCAGAUCUUGUUAGUGGUGGUUUGGAUCUUUGAUUUAGGAUAUCUGGUGCGUAGUUCUGUGCAGUAGAGCCGAUAAUGUUAGCAAUUUCAUGGAUGCGGAUUCCAUUUUCGGCCCGGUAAUUCCUUGAUUCCGAGUGGUAUUCUUGAACUUCUAAAAUCUUUGCUGCCAGAUUCUUUUUAAAUCUUAUUAGUAACGUUUGUUUUGAUUUCUGCGGCAGGAUAGUCGUCUUGUGUACAAGCACUUCGCAACUCUCUACUUCGUCUUUGUGUUCGAUAGUUCAGAAAACGAGCUUGCCAUGCUUGAUCUCAUCCAAGGUAUGCUCACCAAUCCUGUUUCCGUUCUAUGCUUGGUCAUGAUUUAGGGAUGUUGAAGUGAAGUGCUAUUUGCUGAACCUGAUGCACCCAUGUGCUUUUGGUGUGUUUGAGGUAUAUCGUUUGGACCAAAUGAAACUUUUGUUUAGCAAUUUUAUCUAUUUAUUGUAUUUGAGGUUCUGAUAGUUUUUACUGGCACCCAAAAGGAUCAUGAACAAGGGCAUAUCACUAAUUAUGAACAAAAGUGAUGUUGUUAAUGUCAAGUAAUUUUACUCUGAGUGGGUUGAUAGAGAGGUACUGAGAGAAGGUUAAGUAGUUGAUUGCAAUUUACGGAAAGGGUCGGUCUCUGCAGCUCAAAGCCAAAUGGAGGCAAGCCUUGAUUCCUGGAGUCCAAUGUUUGUGCUAAAGAUGGCCAAUGCUUAAACGUUCUUGAAAAUGUUUUGUCCAUAGCCCUUCUCUAUAUUUGGGCUUCUUUGGAUUCCGAAGUAAAUCUUUUGAAACUGUGUCAGUAUCGCAACUCUUUCCAGUUUUGUAUACCUGUAUGCUUAAUUAGACUUCCAUGCUUGCAGUUUUCGUGGAAACAUUAGACAAAUGCUUCAGAAAUGUGUGUGAGCUUGAUAUAGUGUUCAAUUAUAGCAAGGUACGUGAUAUUACCUGUUUUCAUUCAGUGGAAGUCUUAUUUGUUAGCUUUAAACACUGAUCAGUACAACUGUAUGAUCUACUGGAUCAAUAUUUUGAUAUGAUCAUGAUUUGUAUUUAAGAAAUUGGAUACAAAAGGUUGAAUUGUGUUUAACGUUUGGUCAUCGUGUCAAAGAUGUGCAUCUUUUAGUCUUCGGUGAUAUGAAACUAGCAGCUCCCUUGGUACUCAAUGAUUGAGCUUCAAUUUAUUUUAUUGGCUAGCUGCAUACCAUAUUAGAUGAGAUAAUCUUUGGAGGCCAAGUGCUGGAGACGAGUUCUGCUGAGGUCAUGAAGGUAGUUGAAGAGAUAUCAAGGUGCUUCUCGUUCUCUCUCACAGAGGCAUUAGACUUUGCUGCCUAAUUCUAUUGUUACGUUACCAAAUUAACAAACUUGUGAGUGGUGUAGGCAAGAAUCAGCGGCAAAUUCUAUAGGAUUAGUCACCAAAACAGUUUCAGGCUGGAGGAGGUAGCGCCAGUUUGAGAAGUAUUUGAUGAGGAAAGACUGCAACCUGAUAAUAUUUGAAGACUUUGAUUCCGUUAAUGGGAAGACUGGAGGCAUUAUUAUCAAGCAAGUUAUCAAAAUGAGUUCAUGAGAAACGACUGGACAAACGAAGCAGUUGAGAGUCGGACAUUGUUGAAGUGUCGUUUUGGAGCCUAUUGUACUUGAGUUUUUGUUAGGCUUUUAAGAGGUAUAUGCAUGAUUGAUGACAGUAAUGAUACAUUUAUAAGAAACAAAUGGAGUCACAGGCCAGGUCUUGUUCGUGCCUUGCAAACUUGAAUAAUAUCGAGCAAAGAGCUUAAUUUUAUAGCAUCUUGAAAUGUCUGUAGGUUCCCAACUACGAUUUGAUUGAUUAGUCUCUUUUGUAGACACAUAAUUUGAAUAUUUUACAUAUUUCCCAGCAGAGAGAAAAUUAUAACAAUAGAAAGUUUGACGAUUACAAGGGAAAUUCUAAAGCCGUUUCAUGGGGUCUUCUUGAUGUCCUGAAGAACCACAGUUGCAGCAUUACGUCCAGGUGCGCCCAUCACGCCACCUCCUGGGUGAGUGCCACUGCCGCAAAGGUACAACCCUUCCACAGGAGUUCUGUAACUCGACCUGUAGAACAACAACCCAAGAUUGGUUCUAGAGUUUGCGAAUAUGGCCCUGACAAAGAAAACAAAAGAUUCACUUGGUACUUACCAUCCUUUUACUGGUCGCAUAAGGAAUAGGGAAUCCAACCCCAUCGCGCCGUGGAAUAUGUUACCUCCUGGGAAGAGAGAUGUGAAGGUAAGAACUACUAGAAUUAGCAGCUAUGAUUUGCGGCACCACAUUGUUGUUUUACCUGUCAAACCAAUUUCUCUUUCGAGGUCAGGUGGUGUCAGCAUGUCGUAGCCAAUUAUUGAAGAGCUAAAGCCAGGUGCGAAUUCAUCAAUCAAGCUGAAGCACCUUUGUGCGAACGAUUCCUGAUCAACCCCGAAAAAGGCAAAGGCAAAGGUUUCAGCUUUGACCAUGCUUUGUGUUUUCACAAAAUGGCACCUGAACCAAAGGACAGAGAGAGUUAUAUAACCUACCCGGUAAGCAGGAUCCGACCAGCUCCCAUCUGAUGGCUUGUAAGGAGUGUACUGUACAAACAAGUUGAUCACAUGUUUACCUACGGACAAACAGUAAAUAGCCCCAGAGAUCAUUGCAGAUUUCAAUAAUCAGGUCAACAUUCUACCACACGUUUGUCCUUGUCUAGGAUUAGUAGUUCAAAAGCAGUGAAGAAUCGCCAAGGAUAAAUUUAUAUAUACCAGGAGGAGAAAUAGUCUUGUCGAGGACAGAAGGAAUUGUCAUCUCGAUAACUGGUCUUCUGGACGGUACUCCAUUUACAGCGUCCUGGCAGGCUGAAUCAAUUUCUUCCAUGCUAAUUAAGGCAGAGAAAGGGCCAAUGUAAAUUGACAGAAGAAGAUAAAUAUUUUACUGACAGAUUAGGAUACAAUUAAAGGCUAAUGGUCUCUGAAAUCAUAUUGCUAAAAGUUUUUUAAGAGAUCACGAUACAAUUAAAGGUAAUGGUCUCUGAAGAUAAACAGAUCAGGCGUAACCAUGAUUCUAGAUCACUACUCUUCAUG